RNAcentral lists this non-coding RNA (29 nucleotides) under Homo sapiens (human). Lineage: Eukaryota; Metazoa; Chordata; Mammalia; Primates; Hominidae. The record is from RNAcentral.
UACCUGCCAAGUUGCGCUGUGCAGUGCCA